RNAcentral lists this ribosomal RNA (497 nucleotides) under uncultured bacterium. RNAcentral describes it as "partial 16S ribosomal RNA". It matches the Rfam family "Bacterial small subunit ribosomal RNA", at positions 28 to 507 of the family's 1533-position model. The record is from RNAcentral.
GACGAACGCUGGCGGCGUGCCUAAUACAUGCAAGUCGAGCGAACAGACGAGGAGUUUGCUCUUCUGACGUUAGCGGCGGACGGGUGAGUAACACGUGGAUAACCUACCUAUAAGACUGGGACAACUUCGGGAAACCCGAGCUAAUACCGGAUAAUAUAUUGACCCGCAUGGUUCAAUAGUGAAAUCCGGUUUUGCUGUCACUUCUAGAUGUCUCCUCGCCGCAUUGGCUAGUUGGUAAGGUAACGGCUUACCAAGGCAACGAUGCGUAGCCGACCUGAGAGCGUGAUCCCGCACUCAGGGGCUGGAACACGGUCCAGAUGCCUACGGGAGGCAGCAAUAGGGACGGUUCGGAAAUGGGGGAAAGAUUGACGGAGGAGCGCAAGGUGGGUGAUGAGGAUCUUCGGAGCGGAAGACUCUGUUAUGAGUGAAAAACAAAUGUGUAAGUGACUAUGCACGUCUUGACGGUACCUAGUCAAAAAGCACCGGCUAACUACGUG